CCUGUCAGGAGUUUUUGACUUGGUAAAUACUGUGUUAACACCACAACCUGAGGCUCUUUGCCCUCAAGUGGUCAGAACACACAGAGUAAGCGAUGACAAUUAAAAAAGAAAACGAAGAAGAAGACGACAACGACGACAAAGACUAUCUUGUUUCCCAAUCUUCAGACAUUCCCAUGUGACCAUCUUCUUUUCUGAUAAUAUUAUUGCAAGCCAAAAAAAGUGCCUGAUUGAUCUCUGUGGCAUCUCUUAGACUUGAAUCACACCUUCAUCUGAUAGUAGGCAUUACGUCACUGGUUGGUGUGUUCCUCUAAGACUAGACAGAGAGUGGAUCCGCAAACUUUUCCUCCAAGGACCAGACGGUAAAUGUUUUGGGCUCUGUCAGCCGUGCGACAGAUAGCAGCUGUGGUGCAAAUGGAUGGGCUGUGUUCUAAUUAAACUCUAUUUUCAAAAACAAGCAGGUGACCCAGUUUUGCCAACUCCUGUUCUGGAAGAACAAUAAAUGCCAGAAUUUCUGUGUUUAAUUCUGCAAGUAAAAUCAUUUGACAAAAUUGUGGAUGUAGUGAGUUAUUCUUUUUGAUUUCCGGAAGUCAGAAAAGUACUUAGCUAGUGUUGUUUUCAAAAUCAACUGUAUCUCUGUAAUGAUCUUUUCUAAGUGUAAUGACAGUAGCUGGGGGAGAAGAGAUGCAAAGUAGGAAAUCAGAGUCCCUGUUUUGUUCUCUCCUAUUUUGUCCUAUGUAGUCUUGAUAGAAUUCUGAGCUAACCAGUGUCCUUCCAAAUGUCUCAAAAUAAUCUGUAUUUUCCAAGUCAACCCCAUGAUCACCAGACUGAGACUUUUGAGUUGUUCUGAUCACCAUCAGUUUGCACUCCAACCCCUAGUGUUACAGGCUAGAAAGAGGAGAGUUGGAUACGCACACUAUUGGCAGGUUCUCAUGCGUUUUAUUUUUUAUUUGUUUAUUUAUUUUUUAAGAUUUAAUUUAUUUAUUAAUGAGAGACACACAGAGAGAGGCAGAGACAUAGGCAGAGGGAGAAGCAGGCUCCCUGCAGGGAGCCCAAUGUGGGACUCGAUCCCAGGUCUUCAGGAUCACACUCUGGGCCCAAGGCACACGCUCAAACGCUGAGCCCUCCAGGUGUCCCCCUGCGUUUUAUUCCCCAGCGGUAAGAAGACUCCAGUGCAUUCAGGAGGCUUCAAAGAACAGAAAAACCUUCUACAUUAGCUCAUCUGGUAUUUUUUAUUUGUAUCCCGCAGGUGUGCAGGGCUAUGUUAGAAAAGCAUUGCAAAGUGGAAUUCACAUGUUAGUAGUUCUACAACGUGUCCAAAUCGCAGAUCUUUAAUUUAUACCAUAGUUUAGAGUUUUUAAUUUGGACUAGACUAGAGUCUUAAGGGAAAUCGCUUUUUCUCAUAAAAGAACAAACUGUAAGAGGACAUUAGCAUUUUGUAUGCAAAAAAAGUGCUGAUUAUGACAAAUGAGCAUAAUUAAUUUGUAAAGACUCCUAAGCAGAUUCUUUUUUUUUUUAGCUUUAAGUUCUCAUUUAUUUGUCAUAGAGCAAAUUUUUGCUAAAAUAAUUAGAGUUCACCUUUUAUGUUCCUUUAAACGUGCCUUUCCCUCCCAGUUAGGCUGCAUGCAUUACAGUAACACAGGAUGGCAUUUUUUUUUUUUUUCCAGAUUUUAUUUUGAGAGUGAGAGCUAGGGCAGGGGCAGAGGGAGAGGGAGAGAGAGAAUCUCAAGCAGACUCCACACUGAGGAUGGAGCACAACUGGGGCCUUGAUCCCAGACUCUGAGGUCAUGACCUGAGCCAAAAUCAAGGUUUGGACACUUAAGCGAUGGAGCCACCCAGGCGCCCAUAAGGAUGGCCCCUUUAGUACCUGUACUCUCACAGCCUUUGAGUGCUGUGUGUCUGCGUGACCUUCGGCUUCUGCAUGACUUAACAGGACAUAAACUAUUUUCUCCUUGUGUAAAAGGUCCGAGUGCCUGGAGGGACUGUAAGACUGGGUAUGGGGGAUCGUAAGAGUCUGUGAUAAUCAUGCAUGACUGUCAAGUUCUGCUAAUCCUAAAUGAAAAAAACAUUUAGCCUCGUCUACUUUCAGAGCUACGUUACAAGUGGAAUAGAUCUGUAUGAAUAAGUAAAA
Molecule: long non-coding RNA, 2128 nt
Filed under: Canis lupus familiaris (dog)
Lineage: Eukaryota; Metazoa; Chordata; Mammalia; Carnivora; Canidae
Description: lncRNA (ENSCAFG00805001939.1, ENSCAFG00845003313.1)
Source: RNAcentral